UAGUCCACUCAUAAACGGUUGUUCACUAGCUAUGGGCAGUCUAUCUUGUCAGUGGCCCAGAUAACGCAUUAAGUGCACCGCGUGAGGACUACGGCCGCAAGGAUAAUACUCAAAAGAAAUUGACGGGUCGCCGCACAAGCGGUGGAGCAUGUGUAUUAAUUAGAUGCAACGAGAAGAAUCUUACCAGGUCUUGACAUGCAGUGGACCGGUGCAGAAAUGUGCCUUCUCUUCGGAGCCGCUGCACAGGUGCUGCAUGGCUGUCGUCAGCUCGUGUCGUGAGAUGUUCGGUUAAGUCCGUCAACGAGCGCAACCCCUGUCCUUAGUUGCCAGCAUUUAGUUGGGGACUCUAAGGAGACAAUCCGGCUUUGCCGGAGGGAAGGUGGGGGGGAUGUCAAGUCAGUAUGGCCCUUACGACGGGGGGGGCACACGUGGUACAAUGCCAAGUACAAUGAGUUCCGAAACCGCGAGGUGGAGGUUAUCUAUAAAAAAAGGCUCAGUUCGGAUUGGAGUCUUCAACUAGACUCCAUGAAGAAGGAAUCGCUAGUAAUGGCACAUCAGCAACGGUGCCGUGAAUACGUUCCCGGGGAUUGUACACACCGCCCGUCACAUCACGAAAGCCGGUUUUGCCCGAAGUAUGGAGCCAACCCGCAAGGGGGGAAGCGUCCACGGAUAGGCAGGGACUGGUGCC
RNAcentral lists this ribosomal RNA (688 nucleotides) under Oscillatoria brevis. Its description in RNAcentral is "bacterial SSU rRNA". It matches the Rfam family "Bacterial small subunit ribosomal RNA", at positions 791 to 1481 of the family's 1533-position model. Lineage: Bacteria; Bacillati; Cyanobacteriota; Cyanophyceae; Oscillatoriales; Oscillatoriaceae. The record is from RNAcentral.